Hypanus sabinus (Atlantic stingray) is the source of this 1109-nucleotide long non-coding RNA. RefSeq lists it as uncharacterized. The transcript has 3 exons. The record is from RefSeq and is a predicted model, not a curated record. Lineage: Eukaryota; Metazoa; Chordata; Chondrichthyes; Myliobatiformes; Dasyatidae.
UUCCUUUCCUGUUUUAUUUGAGAGAACAAUUAUGAUGAAUAAAAACAGAAGUGCAGAACUGACCAGUCUUCGAAUUCAUUACAUACUGAAGGAACCAAUUGAUACUUAUUUCAUUUAUACCUAAAGUGAUAUUUCAAGCCUCAGACUUUGAUAGUGCGUGCGACAGCAAAACGAUUCCCGAUGCUCCUGGAAAUUGAUGAAUCUGACCCCGGACAAGGAGAAAAACCAAUGAUGUACUGUUACAGUCUGCGCGAUGCAUCAAAUGGACUGGAGGGUGUUAAUGAUGUGGACACUAGUCUGUAAAGGUGUCUGAGUCUUUUUCCCUGUCUCAGCUACGGAGGGACAGGUUUUUGGCUCAGCAGGGUAACAGAGAGAGAUCAUUUUGAGCUCCGAGUAUGGAAAUUGUAGUUGAACCAAAUUUCGGAUUAAAAUGCUGGACUUUAUUUUGGCUUUGGUGCACGGCCUCUGAGUGUUCUCUUUCUGUGUGAAACCCUGUGGGUCUCAAAGGGGGGAUUAUAUUGAGAAAUAUACCUGACAUAAUCACUAUAUAUACCUGAAAUAUAACCACUAUGUACUAGCUAUUUACUACACUAUGUAAUCACUCCUAUGUACUGAAUAUUACUAUGUAUUAUUUUACUAGGCACUUUUUGCUAUGUAUUGUUUUACUAGAUACCUUGUAUUCUCUUAGCUGCAUACUGUGGCAGUUAAAGAACACCUGUUUAGCUAGCAGCACGAGUUAGCUGAAAUGUACUCCAUGUAUUAUACUCAGCCCUUGUUCAUUAAGAGAUAACGAUGGCAGACAGGGUGGUACAAGCAGAAGAUGUAAUGUGAGGGAGGUUAAGGAGGCUGACUGAGAAACAACCUUGACCAGGAAUAAGGCCCAAGAUGUGAACUGGAAAGAAAUACUGGUGACGCACCGAGAGCUAGGCAAGAGUGUUUGAUUAGUUAAUGUAUAGAUGAAAUGCAACUAAAAAUUGAUUGGGUAUGCUGAUAAAACCGAAACGUAACUGAGAUAAGAAAUUACUAUAAAGAAUGCUGUACACCGGAGCUUGGUGGGCUUUUGGUGACAAGUUCAUUGAUUGCCUCAGCCUUUGUUUGCAAAUAAAGGU